This 586-nucleotide ribosomal RNA is filed under the name uncultured bacterium. RNAcentral describes it as "bacterial SSU rRNA". It matches the Rfam family "Bacterial small subunit ribosomal RNA", at positions 102 to 684 of the family's 1533-position model. The record is from RNAcentral.
ACGGGUGAGUAAUACAUCGGAACGUGCCCGAUCGUGGGGGAUAACGGAGCGAAAGCUUUGCUAAUACCGCAUACGAUCUACGGAUGAAAGCAGGGGACCGCAAGGCCUUGCGCGGACGGAGCGGCCGAUGGCAGAUUAGGUAGUUGGUGGGAUAAAAGCUUACCAAGCCGACGAUCUGUAGCUGGUCUGAGAGGACGACCAGCCACACUGGGACUGAGACACGGCCCAGACUCCUACGGGAGGCAGCAGUGGGGAAUUUUGGACAAUGGGCGAAAGCCUGAUCCAGCCAUGCCGCGUGCAGGAUGAAGGCCUUCGGGUUGUAAACUGCUUUUGUACGGAACGAAAAGCCUCUUUCUAAUAAAGAGAGGUCAUGACGGUACCGUAAGAAUAAGCACCGGCUAACUACGUGCCAGCAGCCGCGGUAAUACGUAGGGUGCGAGCGUUAAUCGGAAUUACUGGGCGUAAAGCGUGCGCAGGCGGUGAUGUAAGACAGAUGUGAAAUCCCCGGGCUCAACCUGGGAACUGCAUUUGUGACUGCAUCGCUGGAGUGCGGCAGAGGGGGAUGGAAUUCCGCGUGUAGCAGUGA